This is a non-coding RNA of Zea mays, 81 nucleotides long. The record is from Rfam. Lineage: Eukaryota; Viridiplantae; Streptophyta; Magnoliopsida; Poales; Poaceae.
GGGGAUGUAGCUCAGAAUCUCAGAUGGUAGAGCGCUCGCUUAGCAUGCGAGAGGCACGGGGAUCGAUACCCCGCAUCUCCA